Long non-coding RNA from Delphinapterus leucas (beluga whale), 2250 nucleotides. RefSeq lists it as uncharacterized. Lineage: Eukaryota; Metazoa; Chordata; Mammalia; Artiodactyla; Monodontidae. The record is from RefSeq and is a predicted model, not a curated record.
GCAGGUCGGAGCUGGGGGCUCCGAGCGCCCGUGGGCGGGGCGCAGGGCGCGGAUCGGAAGUGCCACGCGGAGCCCGAGCUGGGACUUCGGGCUCCCUGGGCGAGUGUCCCCUCAGACUCAUGGGCUCCCCGGGAGUGAUGGCCCUUACUUUCCUAGGCUCCUCCGCCCCACCACCCUUUACUUGACUGCAGGGCCCAGUUUCCAGAGCUCCUGGGCUGAUGGGAUGUCCCCACUGCCUUCGGAUGGCGAGAUGGGCCAUCCCAGAGGAACUUGCAGUGCUCUCCCUGGACUCCACCCCAUACUUCCUGCCUUAGACUUGCCCUCCGACACUUGUCCAACACUCCUCCCGUCCAAAGCCCUGGCAGGAGAUGGGGAGGUGCAAACAGCUUGCACUGCACACAGUCGGCAACCACCUGGAGGACGUGACAGGUGCAAGAGAAAGCCUGACAACCAGGAGAGACAGGGACGGAGAAGAGAGCACCAGAUGUGGAUGCGGGAGGAGGGUCACCCGUGAGCGCCCCCUGAGGAGGAAGACAGCCCCAACCACCGGCACAUUCUCCUUUGAGCACAGACAAAACCCUAGAGACUGGAGCUGGAGGUGCCCUGAGACAGUCUCCAAGCCAGUGCCCCAACCCCAUUUUACAGGUUCUGUCUAGAGAGGGAGGGAGCUCGCCUCUGGUCACACAGCUAGUUUAGAGUGAGACUAAACCCCUGGCUUCAGAACCCAGGUACCUGCUGUCUCACCUGCAGGAGCACAGCCUCUCUCCCAGGCACCAGCUCUUUCCCUCCCCUGCUCCACCUUCCAAGAGGAGGAAGAGGGGGUUUGAGGUUGAGACAGCAAAAUCUCCCCACCUCAGGGGGAGUCACAGACGCCCCUAAGGAAGUAAGAGUCUCAGCCUGAGACAGGUCUCUGCAGCAAGAAGCCAGGAGGUCCCUGGCAGGAUGUGGAUGGGGGAGACAACACAGUAGUGGUAUAGGUUUGUCACAGCUUGGGGGCCCAGCAGGUGGCUGUCAUUUGUUGAGUGCCAGCUGCUGUGCUUUACAUGUUACCCUGAAACACACACAGAGCGGCCCUUUCUUGUAUCUCCUGGUGUGACCAGUGACCCUCUGGGCUCUGACGUACUCAGGCGAGGAGAAAGGGAUUCCCCCCUAGCUCAGUGACAGCCACACCAUCCACCCAGUUAGGAAGCCAGACAGCCAGGCCACCCUAGUCACCAGCUCACCUCCAAGCCCUAUGUGCUCAACUCCAAAGGACCCCCAAAUACAGCUACUUCCAUCUCAAAUGCGUCCCCUGCCCCACCAGGUCACCAGCGUCCCUUCAAUGGCCACUGCCAUAAGUUUGUCCUAACAGAUCCUCCUCCGAGCUCUGGCCCCUGACACCUCUUCUCCAACUGCAUCCGAGGACAUAUUUGAAUCACACCUUAGAUCAUGUAUCUGCCUUUGCUAUAAAACCUCCAAAGGCUCUGUUACUCUUGGGAUAAAGACCAGACUCCCUAACACAGCCUAUGAGGCUCUGCACAGGGUGGUCCUGCUGUCCUUCCUGCCUCCGUGUCCCCCCCUCACAGCCCUCCAGGCUAGCUCCUUGUAUGCACCAUGCUCAUCUUGCCUCAGGGCCUUUGCACAGGCUGUCCACUCUGCCCUGAAUGCUCUAUCCUGCCUCUUUGCCCAGUCAGUCCCUGCUCACCCUUUGGACAGCCUUCUAGUCGUCACUACCUGAAGCCUGUCCGGCCCGCCCAACCAGGGACACCAUCUCUGUCCAUCUCCUUCACAGUACUUCUCACUGUUGAGUUUCACCUGAUUUUGUGUGAUUCACAGAUUAACAUCUGCUUCCCCCCCUGGACCACAAGUUCCACAGGGAGCAGGAACCUUGUCUGUAUUUUUUUCCAAAUUGUAUCCCCAGUGCCUGUCCUGUGUUUGGCACCUAGUGGGCCCUCAAUGAAUAUUAGUUAAAUUAAUAAUCAAAUGAAUGGAAGCUGGAGAAGGAAAAGUUCAUGGAAAACUUGGGGAGUUAACCAUUUAUAAAAACCGCCUAGCAUAGGUAAAUCUAUAGAGAUACUAAUUAGGUUACUGGCUGCCGCGGCUUGGGGAAGAAAGGAAUAGGGAGUGAGUGCUAAUGGCUGUGGGGCUUCGAUCUAAAUUCAGAUAGCAGUGAUGCCUACAUAUAUUUAGUAUAUAUGUGACUAUACUAAAAACACUGAAUUGUACACUUUGGAAGAAUGAAUUUUAUGGUAUGUGAAUUACAUCUCAAUA